GGGCUUGUACCGGUUUCGACGGGGACGAUGCAGCUUUAGAAGCUAUCCGAAAGACAGUUGCGUUAAACUUCAAACUUAAAUACAAACGCUAACGACAAUAGUUACGCAUUGGCAGCCUAAGCGCUGCCGGCCAGUUCCGGAUCACUCACAGCCCGGGGUACUGACCUCAUCUAUGUGAGAAACGACGCAUCCGGUUCCUCCCGGCUGCGGGCGUAUCAGAGGAUACCGGCUGUGUGGAGACGUGCACAUCUUCUCACAGUGGGGAAUCUCCAAAGUGUACUAUGAUAGUAGAAGGAAAGGGAAUUUGUUUUCGGACAUGGGUUCGACUCCCAUCAGGUCCACGU
This 344-nucleotide transfer-messenger RNA is filed under the name Lachnospiraceae. RNAcentral describes it as "Oribacterium sp013394775 Standard tmRNA". It matches the Rfam family "transfer-messenger RNA". From Rfam's summary of the family: Bacterial tmRNA, also known as 10Sa RNA or SsrA, is named for its dual tRNA and mRNA-like properties. Its role is to liberate the mRNA from a stalled ribosome. The record is from RNAcentral. Lineage: Bacteria; Bacillati; Bacillota; Clostridia; Lachnospirales. RNAcentral also lists the same sequence under 1 other name.